RNAcentral lists this long non-coding RNA (474 nucleotides) under Felis catus (domestic cat). RNAcentral describes it as "lncRNA (ENSFCAG00000043517.1)". The record is from RNAcentral. Lineage: Eukaryota; Metazoa; Chordata; Mammalia; Carnivora; Felidae.
CCUACACCCAUAUCUUUUAUGCACAGUAUAUCUUUGACUCUUCCAUUUGCUUCCCUUUGUAUUUUAACACAGUGGCAUAUACAGUCAAGACGGACGAUCAUACAAAGCGCCUUAAGAAAUGUCUCAUUAUGAAACGUCUGCUGAGAUGCCGUGUCCACAGUGAGCAGCUUGUGGCCAACGUGUGAAUGGGGCAGGACGGGAACAUUCCAAUUGUUCAGCCGCUCUCCACCCAGUGUAUUUAUGAAGCAAUUAUUUCCAAACUUGACAUCCUUCAAGAGCAGACAAGCUGGGGAAAGGACAAGAGAUGAUGGAGUCCUCCGAGUUCACAAGACCCCGACAACCACCCAGGGCGGUCUUGACCAUCCUGGGCAACCCCCAAGUGCUACCUGUUGCCUUUCUCCAAGCUGGAUCAUACGGACACCCCCAUGUAUGACCUCUUCAUCUCAAUAUGCGGCACGUUUCGACAUCCCAGAU